CCUACGGGCGGCUGCAGUGGGGGAUAUUGCACAAUGGAGGGAACUCUGAUGCAGCGACGCCGCGUGAGGGAAGAAGGUUUUCGGAUUGUAAAACUCUGUUUUCGGUGACGCAACGAGACGGUCGUCGAGGAGGAAGCCACUGCUAACUACGUGCCAGCAGCCGCGGUAAUACGUAGGUGGCAAGCGUUGUCCGGAAUUACUGGGUGUAAAGGGAGCGUAGGCGGGAAAGCAAGUUGAAUGUUUAAGGUACGGGCUCAACCUGUACAAGCGUUCAAAACUGUUUGUCUUGAGUGGAGUAGAGGUAAGCGGAAUGCCUGGUGUAGCGGUGAAAUGCAUAGAUAUUAGGAGGAACACCAGUGGCGAAGGCAGCUUACUGGGCUUUAACUGACGCUGAGGCUCGAAAGCGUGGGUAGCAAACAGGAUUAGAUACCCUAGUAGUC
This 440-nucleotide ribosomal RNA is filed under the name uncultured bacterium. Its description in RNAcentral is "partial 16S ribosomal RNA". It matches the Rfam family "Bacterial small subunit ribosomal RNA", at positions 338 to 795 of the family's 1533-position model. The record is from RNAcentral.